Molecule: transfer RNA, 87 nt
Filed under: Alcanivoracaceae bacterium
Lineage: Bacteria; Pseudomonadati; Pseudomonadota; Gammaproteobacteria; Oceanospirillales; Alcanivoracaceae
Description: tRNA-Leu
Rfam family: tRNA
About the family: Transfer RNA (tRNA) molecules are approximately 80 nucleotides in length. Their secondary structure includes four short double-helical elements and three loops (D, anti-codon, and T loops).
Source: RNAcentral
GCCCGGGUGGCGAAAUUGGUAGACGCAAGGGACUUAAAAUCCCUUGUCCGAAAGGGCGUGCCGGUUCGACCCCGGCCCCGGGCACCA